Xylaria palmicola is the source of this 95-nucleotide non-coding RNA. The record is from the annotation of a GenBank genome assembly. Lineage: Eukaryota; Fungi; Ascomycota; Sordariomycetes; Xylariales; Xylariaceae.
GGGCGAAUGGUCUAGGGGUAUGAUACUCCCUUCGCAUAUUCUGACUUCUCAGAACAGCAUGGGAGGGGUCCGGGGUUCAAUUCCCCGUUCGUCCA